GCUGAAUUAUAAGUGAGUGCUAUAAAUCAA
This 30-nucleotide non-coding RNA is filed under the name Rattus norvegicus (Norway rat). The record is from RNAcentral. Lineage: Eukaryota; Metazoa; Chordata; Mammalia; Rodentia; Muridae.